Non-coding RNA from Kogia breviceps (pygmy sperm whale), 1290 nucleotides. The record is from RefSeq and is a predicted model, not a curated record. Lineage: Eukaryota; Metazoa; Chordata; Mammalia; Artiodactyla; Physeteridae.
UGGGUCUCCCAGAGAGCCACUCACCCCACAGUAAUCAUUUUCCUUAAAACAAGGCUCUCUGGGUACCCCGGGCAGCCCACCACUUCCCCCACCAACCGGAAUAUCCUGGAACACUACCUUCACUGCUCCCACACCCAGCAGUGACCUAAAGGCUUGCUUAGCACCAUCCCAGAUGUCAAGGUUCUAGGGCAAAUGAAACGAGUGGGUUUGGAAAUCCGAGGAAGCCAGGGCUCAUAAAGAGAUGAGGAAAUGGGGCCAGGGAGGGAGUGAAGGCACUGUCAUCCCCAAGUGCCAUCAAACCGAGAAGGAGUUUGCCAGCCCAGGAGAUGAGUAAAACCUGAAGUUUGAGGAAGGGCAGAUGCAUCCUAUUGUGACUAGGGCUCAGCACGCCCCAAUCGUAGGCCACCUCAUGGCUUCCAAGAGGGAUUUGAGAUGUAUAAAAGGUGUGCAGUCUCAGAGCAUCCCCAAAGCCUCAGCAUCUCCACGUUCCAGCCACUGGUGAACUCGGUGCACAUCCAGACCAGAAUGUAUCAGCAAACGCAGAAGCUGUGCUUCCCCCCUCCAAAGCAUUGCUGCCCACCAUCCCAGCAAUUCUGCCCCCCACCAAAGUAUUGCUGCCCCGCACCCCGGCAAUACUGUACCCCAACAAAGUAUUGCUUCCCCGCACCCCAACAGUGUUGCCCACUACCAAAGUAUUGCUGCCCCGCACCCCGGCAGUGCUUCCCACUACCAAAAUAUUGCUGCCCCACAACUAAGCAGUACUGUCCCCCUCUCCAGUACUACUGCCCCCCACCAAAACGGUGCUAGACCCCCCUCAGCACGCCAAGCAGCCUUGCCAGCCUCCACCUACGUGCAAGGUGCCCUGUGUCCCCAAGUGCCAGCACAAGUGCCCACACCCUCCGCAAUGCCAGAAGUCCAAGCUGAAGUCUCCCCUGGCCAUGGGAUCUGAGGCCAAGCCCCCUGGAGAACAGAGACCAUGAAGCCCACUGUCUUCUCUCAGCCAGCCAGCUGUCAGCGCCACUCUCCCCCAGAUUCUGGAGGCAGCCACACUUCGGGAAAAGCAGCACCAGUUUGGCAGGUUCCUGGGUCAAGAUUUCGUAUUAAUUAGCAGCUGCAAGUUCCAUCUCAGAAAAAGAUCUGUUUCUAAACCAUCUAAUCUUCUCUGUUGCCUUGUAUCGACUUUGCCCUGUCGGCUUCUUGGAAACUUAGGCAGCAUGGUGGGACAUCCUUUCCUAGCACCCUUCGUUUCUAUGCCCGUUUUCCCAACUAUUACACACAAUUCCUUUGACA